RNAcentral lists this ribosomal RNA (131 nucleotides) under Sebacina sp. Its description in RNAcentral is "partial small subunit ribosomal RNA". It matches the Rfam family "Eukaryotic small subunit ribosomal RNA", at positions 1651 to 1779 of the family's 1831-position model. The record is from RNAcentral. Lineage: Eukaryota; Fungi; Basidiomycota; Agaricomycetes; Sebacinales; Sebacinaceae.
CCCUGCCCUUUGUACACACCGCCCGUCGCUACUACCGAUUGAAUGGCUUAGUGAGGUCUCCGGAUUGACUUCGAGGAACCGGCAACGGUACUUUGUUGUUGAGAAGCUGACCAAACUUGGUCAUUUAGAGG